UACGUAGGGCGCAAACGUUAUCCGGAAUUAUUGGGCGUAAAGAGCUCGUAGGCGGUUUGUCGCGUCUGCCGUGAAAGUCCGGGGCUCAACUCCGGAUCUGCGGUGGGUACGGGCAGACUAGAGUGAUGUAGGGGAGACUGGAAUUCCUGGUGUAGCGGUGAAAUGCGCAGAUAUCAGGAGGAACACCGAUGGCGAAGGCAGGUCUCUGGGCAUUAACUGACGCUGAGGAGCGAAAGCAUGGGGAGCGAACAGG
RNAcentral lists this ribosomal RNA (253 nucleotides) under uncultured bacterium. Its description in RNAcentral is "partial 16S ribosomal RNA". It matches the Rfam family "Bacterial small subunit ribosomal RNA", at positions 524 to 776 of the family's 1533-position model. The record is from RNAcentral.